This 459-nucleotide ribosomal RNA is filed under the name uncultured bacterium. RNAcentral's name for it is "partial 16S ribosomal RNA". It matches the Rfam family "Bacterial small subunit ribosomal RNA", at positions 338 to 795 of the family's 1533-position model. The record is from RNAcentral.
CCUACGGGAGGCAGCAGUGAGGAAUAUUGGUCAAUGGGCGCAAGCCUGAACCAGCCAAGUAGCGUGCAGGAUGACGGCCCUACGGGUUGUAAACCUCUUUUAUCCGGGAACAACACGCCUUACGCGUAGCGCUUUGCGUGUACCCUAUGAAUAAGCACCGGCUAAUUCCGUGCCAGCAGCCGCGGUAAUACGGAGGGUGCGAGCGUUAUCCGGAUUUAUUGGGUUUAAAGGGUGCGCAGGCGGAAGUUCAAGUCUGCGGUAAAAGUGAGGGGCUCAACCCGGUCCUGCCGCUGAAACUGGCGUGCUUGAGUGAGUGAGAAGUAGGCGGAAUUCGUGGUGUAGCGGUGAAAUGCUUAGAUAUGACGCAGAACCCCGAUUGCGAAGGCAGCAUGCCGGCGCGGAACUGACGCUGAUGCACGAAAGCGGGGGUAUCGAACAGGAUUAGAUACCCUGGUAGUC